This 258-nucleotide long non-coding RNA is filed under the name Physcomitrium patens. RNAcentral describes it as "long non-coding RNA (PPAT_LNC012721)". The record is from RNAcentral. Lineage: Eukaryota; Viridiplantae; Streptophyta; Bryopsida; Funariales; Funariaceae.
AAACAGUCAAGAGUACCAGCCUUAAUUUUAUUGCAAAAAAACCUAAAUCACCAAUACAAACACUGACUUUCAGCAACGAUUGCAAAAGUCCUUCCAAACCCUAUGAAAUCCAAUUCUAUAUUUUUUGAAAGAACUUAAAGCUAGCUCUCCGACCCCAAAAUCCCGAUCUCCGAAUGCCCUCUUCUUUUUCUUCUCCUUUCUUUUAACUCCGUGAAGUCCCCUAUUCUUCCACCUUGGACUCCAAAUUGGAAUAGCAAA